This 486-nucleotide ribosomal RNA is filed under the name uncultured bacterium. RNAcentral's name for it is "bacterial SSU rRNA". It matches the Rfam family "Bacterial small subunit ribosomal RNA", at positions 28 to 534 of the family's 1533-position model. The record is from RNAcentral.
GAUGAACGCUAGCGGCAGGCUUAACACAUGCAAGUCGAGGGGUAGAGGAAGCUUGCUUCCUUGAGACCGGCGCACGGGUGCGUAACGCGUAUACAAUCUACCUUUUACAGAGGGAUAGCCCAGAGAAAUUUGGAUUAAUACCUCAUAGUAUUUUCGGAUCGCAUGAUUUGAUUAUUAAAGUUCCAACGGUAAAGAUGAGUAUGCGUCCCAUUAGCUAGAUGGUAAGGUAACGGCUUACCAUGGCAAUGAUGGGUAGGGGUCCUGAGAGGGAGAUCCCCCACACUGGUACUGAGACACGGACCAGACUCCUACGGGAGGCAGCAGUGGGGAAUAUUGGACAAUGGGCGAAAGCCUGAUCCAGCAAUGCCGCGUGAGUGAUGAAGGCCUUAGGGUUGUAAAGCUCUUUUACCCGNGAUGAUAAUGACAGUAUCGGGAGAAUAAGCUCCGGCUAACUCCGUGCCAGCAGCCGCGGUAAAGUGACUACUG